GUGGGUAUAGCUCAGUGGUUAGAGUACAUGCUUAGUAAGCACCAUGUUCUGGGUUCAAUCUCCAGUACCUCCA
RNAcentral lists this transfer RNA (73 nucleotides) under Camelus bactrianus (Bactrian camel). It matches the Rfam family "tRNA". Rfam says of the family: Transfer RNA (tRNA) molecules are approximately 80 nucleotides in length. Their secondary structure includes four short double-helical elements and three loops (D, anti-codon, and T loops). RNAcentral also lists the same sequence under 1 other name. Lineage: Eukaryota; Metazoa; Chordata; Mammalia; Artiodactyla; Camelidae. The record is from Rfam by way of RNAcentral.